This 32-nucleotide non-coding RNA is filed under the name Rattus norvegicus (Norway rat). Lineage: Eukaryota; Metazoa; Chordata; Mammalia; Rodentia; Muridae. The record is from RNAcentral.
AUAGGUACAUAGAUAGAUAAAUCUGUGUCAGC